GACGAACGCUGGCGGCGUGCUUAACACAUGCGAGUCGAACGGAAAGGCCUCUUUCGGGGGGUACUCGAGUGGCGAACGGGUGAGUAACACGUGAGUAACCUGCCCUUGACUUUGGGAUAACUUCAGGAAACUGGGGCUAAUACCGGAUAGGAGCUCCUGCUGCAUGGUGGGGGUUGGAAAGUUUCGGCGGUUGGGGAUGGACUCGCGGCUUAUCAGCUUGUUGGUGGGGUAGUGGCUUACCAAGGCUUUGACGGGUAGCCGGCCUGAGAGGGUGACCGGCCACGUUGGGACUGAGAUACGGCCCAGACUCCUACGGGAGGCAGCAGUGGGGAAUAUUGCACAAUGGGUGGAAGCCUGAUGCAGCAACGCCGUGUGCGGGAUGACGGCCUUCGGGUUGUAAACCGCUUUCGCUCAUGACGAAGCUUUGUGUGACGGUAGUGGGUAAAGAAGCACCGGCUAACUACGUG
This 467-nucleotide ribosomal RNA is filed under the name uncultured bacterium. RNAcentral's name for it is "partial 16S ribosomal RNA". It matches the Rfam family "Bacterial small subunit ribosomal RNA", at positions 28 to 507 of the family's 1533-position model. The record is from RNAcentral.